CAUCAGAGGUGAAGGCUUCUACUUCGACCUUUCCAAGAAUAGUGUGGCUGUAUGAAUAUUUUCGAACCAGACCCCAAGAGCCAAAAGGCACUCGAGUAGGUUCAGAAAAUGAGAAAUAUAAUGGAUCAUAGGAGGCCUCUGCAUCAACCACAUCAUAACUCUCGUGCAGAAGUACAUUCACCUGAGAUCAUCUGUAGGUCG
RNAcentral lists this long non-coding RNA (201 nucleotides) under Elaeis guineensis (African oil palm). RNAcentral's name for it is "long non-coding RNA (EGUI_LNC014349)". Lineage: Eukaryota; Viridiplantae; Streptophyta; Magnoliopsida; Arecales; Arecaceae. The record is from RNAcentral.